This 240-nucleotide ribosomal RNA is filed under the name uncultured bacterium. RNAcentral describes it as "partial 16S ribosomal RNA". It matches the Rfam family "Bacterial small subunit ribosomal RNA", at positions 100 to 334 of the family's 1533-position model. The record is from RNAcentral.
CCGGCACGGGUGAGUAACACGUAUGCAAUCCACCUGUAACAGGGGGAUAACCCGGAGAAAUCCGGACAAUACCCCAUAAUAUGGGCGCUCCGCAUGGAGAGCCCAUUAAAGAGAGCAAUUUUGGUUACAGACGAGCAUGCGCUCCAUUAGCCAGUUGGCGGGGUAACGGCCCACCAAAGCGACGAUGGAUAGGGGUUCUGAGAGGAAGGUCCCCCACAUUGGAACUGAGACACGGUCCAA